Long non-coding RNA from Aquila chrysaetos chrysaetos, 5869 nucleotides. RefSeq lists it as uncharacterized. The record is from RefSeq and is a predicted model, not a curated record. The transcript has 4 exons. Lineage: Eukaryota; Metazoa; Chordata; Aves; Accipitriformes; Accipitridae.
GGCACCGGAAACGGCCCCCGGCCCGCUGGAGGGCAGCGGAGCGGAGCAGGCUAGAAGAUCUCAAAAUCCUUGAAGAAAAAUAUGUACCGAUGAUGAAAUACAAGCCAAGGGGACAGGAUUUUGAGACUUUCACCCUAGUUCAUAUGCCAACAGUGCAAGUCUUUCUUACUGCAAGAAUGAACCAAACUUAAAAUCUCCCUUAAAAAAAAAAAAACAACAAAACAAAAACCCAAAAACAAACCAUCAAACAAACAAGUGAGAAAGCUGUCUGGUAUUAUUAAUACGUAUGCUGAAUGCCAACUUUCACCUUACUUACGGCAUCUGCAAAGAGCUGCUGGAAGCACCUGUCCAAAAGCAGACAUACCGUAUUUUGUUGGAAAGACGUCCUCAUCUGUCACUAGCUUCUGCACGGAACUCAUGACGAAGUCAACAUACUGAGGAGCAGUGCACUUGAUCUUCUUUCCCCGCUCAUCAUACCAGUAGUACUGUCUGUGGAGAGAAUUGACAGUGUCACCAGAUUAUGCCUUGGCUCCUCAGCUCAACUCCUUUAAGAGGUUAGCGUCUAAAUAAUAUAAAACAACAGCUGCAACAUUACCAAAAUACGACAUAGCUGCUACAGAAGAGAUUCACCUCAGGGUAUAUUUCUACAUCUAAACCCUUGAAUUUCUGUUAGCCAGUUUUGUUUCUCCCUACCAAUUUAGUCAAGAGUGCAGGUAGUGGUACCAAGCACAGAAAGCCUGCUGACAAGUCUUCACGGAGAGGAGCUCUACUGAGGCAGCAGUAACUCCCUGUCCAUGACAGACUGAGGGUGUACAUACAGUCUAUAGAACUGUACAGGAAAGCAUUAUAUAACUAUUUUUAAAGGGCAACAACAUUGCACAGUGAUAAAUUGGUGAUCUUCUGAUGCUUAACAUCACAAAACAUAAAUUAGUCUUGUAGUGUAGUAUUAUUAAACAGACAGAAGGUGGCUCCAAAACACCAGCCUUUUCAAGCUGGUGCUCUGCAGUACUGGCAGCAUUUUUAAGCACUACAAAUCCUGUUCCAAAAUCCAGUAUGGGGAAGGUUUUCAGGACCCUUCUGCACAUCCCUUCCAGCAUGCCUUUGAACUCUGCUCCUUUGGUUACAGUUACAGACGCCCAAAACCAUCUGAAUUUACAUUUGACUCUGCCAACAGUGAAUAAUCCUUUUGGAUCUUAAGGAACAGGAGACAUUAGCAUAUUGCCUGGCUCUUCAAAAGCAACCAUAAUUCAAUCAGUUAACCAUAAUCUUGAUUAACUGCAGCCAUCCCUCACCUGACAGAGAAUCUGAAGGCUACAAAAGCACUGAAGGUAUAGACUGCAUUGAACUGGAAGGAUCUAUACGUGCCACUUGGAAAGUGAAGCUUUAUGCAUACUGACCAGCAGAACAGUCCUGAAGCAACUGAAGAAAAAUGUAAAGUUUCUUCUCUUCCGGUGCUGGCUUUUUACCAUUUGGCUUUCCCUUGGACUUCCUGCAAGAGAUUAAGAAGAGGGAAGAAAGGUUACCUUUACUGUUGAUGAACAGCUACAGAAACCUGAAAGAAGCUGGUUUAUCCAAAUUCCUCUAUUUGUGUUUUCACUGCUCCUCCUGCCUUCCCUCCCCUUAUCUCUUUUUUUUUUUUUUAAUUAAAGCAAAAGAUAGUUUCUUAAAAAGUAUAUUUGAACUCAGUCACUUUUUUCAAGUAACAUUGGAAGUUCUGAAUGGCAUUAAGACUGAGCUGCUCCACCUCCACUGCCCUUUUGCCAGUUUAGAUUGCAAACUAUUGGGAGCAACAGUCUCUCUUUAUGCUUAUGAACAGUCGCGACAGCAGAAUGCCACCGUGCCUGAAGGAGCUACUCUAACACGAGUAUACUAACGAUCUGCUGAAUCAUACAUGUAACUGUCACCUGCAAAAUGGGAGUUUGAGGGACAGUAAAAGUGGACUCCUGCAAGACAGAUAGCUCUCAGUUAGAAAAAUGCUCUUUCCACACAACGUGCUGGCACUGCUCAUUCAAAGCUACAGCAUUCCUCACUACUCCAGCCCUACAUUCUCAGAGAUACCAGAAGCCUGGAAGCAAGCAUCUGUGACUCCAGCUAGAGGCACUGGUAACUACAAAAACACCUGCUUUCUCAACUCCCUGGAUACCUGAGACAGAAAGAUCUGAGUUCAUUUUCUUCUGAAAAUCCUUUAAAAUCCGAUGCAUUAUGAAAUAACCUUCCAUUUGGAUUUAUAAAAGCAGACGAACCAUUCCAUAAAAUGCAUUUAUCUCCACGGCAUACCGUAACUUUUCAUCUCCCAUUUCUAAAGCGUUUGUUGUAAUCACUAGAGUUUUCCUCUCACUCUCGUUUUUAACAUCCUCAAGCUAGACUCUCAACCCAAGCUGUAUUCCUGGGCCAGGGGUUCACUAAAGACUUCUGAGGCAGGAUGGCAGGUCCACACUUUCAUCUUUUAGGCUAUAUGGUCAAACAGCUGUAUAUCCCUGUGUUUCUACAGUUAAAAAAUCCACCUAACCAGAGACAGAAGAUCUACUUAAUGGUCACGGACAAGUACAGUAAGGCAAUACUUGCACAUUUCUUGCCAUCUCCUUUUUCCACAUCAGUGCAUUCCAAUUCAAAUGAAGCCUGCAAGAUUUGUCUCUUACAUUUAUUUAAGUAACCUGGACUAAUUCUCAUAGCUGCUCCACAAAGGGAUGUUUUAGGACAUGCGAAGUCAGAUGUCCCUCAGCACAAGGCUCUUAAUACAGAGGGGUUGCUUAGUUAGACCAACAGCUCCUGGUUGUCAGCUAACUAUUCUUGCCUUCAAACCUUUACAUUUGCUAGAUCUCGUUUGAACCUCACCAUGUAAAAGUAAGCUACAGAUAAGAAAGAAAAGUCCAUGCAAGCAAGAACUGCAAGAGGGCCUUAAAGGUAUUUAAAGAAGCUAUGAAAGAUACACUUAAUUUAUUCUUGGGCCUGCAACUUCAGAUUUUCACAGAACUUGAGAUGACAUUCAAGGAAAAUGUAAUAGCAUAAAACAACAGUCUCGUUCGAUAGUCUGUAGUCUGACUUUGUAGCAAAUGAAACAACAUGUUUGACCUCUUCCUUCUGCAGGAAUACCAUGUUAAGACUUGCACCUACCUUACCCUGACAGUCAGGAGCAUAAAUCCAGUUGAAACUAUGCACUUGGCCCUGAGCUAGUAAAAAAUACUCCAGGCCACUGAUUUGCUUAAUUCCCAGCACAGGCUGCCUUACUCCUAUGCUGCUGAAACCAAGCCUGGCACGCUCCAUACAGCACCUUCAUACCUGCUGGGCCUCUGACAGACAAUAUUAAGGUCUAUUCAGAAUAUACUCUUUAGGGUUUUUUCAGCUGGUUGGGUUUAGUGGGUUUUGGGUUGGGGGGGGGGGGGGGGGGUACUCAGGCAUUCAAGGAUAAGUUGAUUUUCUAUGAAAAUUAUAGUUCUAGUAACAGUCAUGCAGAAAAUACCUUCAACUUCAGAGACUGGUUCAACAAACCGCAUUAACCACACUUGGGGAGAAAAGCGAUCAGUGAGUAGUUUGGAUAGAACAGAGUUUGUGUCUUUGCUUUACUUCAGGAUACUUAAACCAAGGGCCCCAGGUUAGGGCUGUGCCACGACAGCUAAGAGCAGUCUUCUGAGAGGAGGAGGAGGGGGGAGAGAGACAACAAGGUCAAAGACAGUCUGUCAUAGAGCCAGGCUGUGGAGGGAAACCACAGAAGGAAGCCAGACAUACAAGGCUGAGGCAAGCCUUCCACCGAAUAGAAAUGGGUAGUGUAUACCUCAUUCUCACUUCAGCAUCUCCUCCCCAUUUCAAGAAAUGAAUCGAAAAUGCAACACUAAAUAUAUUUCACAAGUUUGCUAAUGCAAACAACUACACGUCGUCCUUUCACAAAACCCAAAGCCCCUCAUUUCCACACAAGCAUCAGUUCCCUGCUAGAUUAGUACAUGCAGCUGCUUUGUGUCUUUUCAAUAGAUUGUGUCAGUCUUUCCACAACUGCCUUGUGCUGGAACUGGAGCACUCCAAACAGAAGCCUCCUGAAGGAUCCCAUGCAUUACCCCUUUCCAAAGCUUUGGUUUGAUUUAAAAAAGAACCUGACUCAUGGGCAUCAUCACUGAACCUGCAAAAUGCCCAUAAUCACCAAUACCAAAGGGUUUAUUCACACCACUGAAACCUGAAUGCCAAAUCACUAUGUGCAGCACAAACUUCUUUUUAACCUUUUGCUGGUGCUGAGAGCUAAAGCAAGACCACAAAAAUUGUUUCUACUGACAGAUUUCCACGACUUGUAUGCAGUGCAGUUGGGACACUACAUGGGCCAAAUAUUUUAAGUACAAACUAAAAAAAAUUCCAGUCUUAAAAACGUCAAGUUUGGAACCAGACCACACGUCUUCCCUCAAUUCGGCAUAACAUAGAUUAUAAAGUUAGACUUACUCAUAUUAAUUGAGUCACGCUCAGUCUAGGCUGUAAAACUGUGGGUUUAGUUUGGAAACUGUCAAUACUAGUCAAUACUAAAGCAUUUUCUUUAGAGACUUACAAAGCUGGAGCAUAGUACAGUACAGAGAAAACAGUUUUAGAAAUGUGAUUCCAUAUGAUUAAAAAUCAACAAAUAGUUCCAUAUUCUAGAUAAACCAAAACUCAUACAUUCACAAUUACCAGAAUUACCGAAUAGUGUAAAGUUCAGAAGUUAGCUUCCUUCCUUCUGCUCUCCCCUACCUCCAAGUUCACUGUUGUUUCACAAAGACUUGUAAGAAAACACCGUCUACCUGGAACCAACUCCAAAUGUACAAAGUGAAGCAUCCAUUACUUCCUUUGUUGUGAGCUGUUCACAUUCAAGAUGCCUUCCUUAAUUUUUCAUUUUAUGUUUAAAGUACACAAAUACACAAAAUUGUGUGUAGCCAUUUCUGAGAUGUCCCAGAACACCCUUAUAAGUGAGGACUAUAGCAAUGAGCAUAAAGCAGCACAUUCAACAACAGCUCGUUCAGUCUGCUUUCAAUGAAAGGAAGAGUGACGAGAACAGUGAAGUUUUACUGGUUUACUUGGGAAACACCAAAAUCCAUCACCUGUAGAUGAUUAUUUACUGGAAAACAUAACUAAAUGUCAUAUAAGACCACAAAAAGGGCAGUACCUUUCAAAACACUGCUAUAGGCACCCUAAGGGAAACCAAAGUCCUGGUUCAUGUUUACCUGUGUGUGUCUUAAAAAAAAUAAGAGAAUUCUGCUAAAUGUGUCUUAACACAUCCAUGUCAGAUCAACUGUUAUGUCCAGAGCAGCUGGAGGAAUAGCUGUCACACAGCAGUUUGGUGAAGGUCUGUCAAGAGGUUAGACCAAAACCUGUCUAUCAAUGCUUAACUACUAAUUAAGGAAAGCAACAUCUUUAGGGAAUCCAAGGAGACAGCAUUCAACAGUUUUUAUUGACAGGCAAACCAGAGUACAAACUAAUUCUUCAGAUAACUCGCAGGAUAGGUUUGUGUUUGUUUGGGUUUAGGCACUCAGUUGAAUAUGAUGCCACAGGCCAAGUCACACCCACAAAUAAGUUUGAGAAGGAAAAGUGAUGGGAGAUGGCAGAAGAAAGGUCACUCAUCUUAAGUCUUAGAAAAAGGUUCAGCAAACUGGCUCCAGCCAAAGACACUACAUUCACUAAUGCUUCUAGCAGGGCUUCCAUACUCAGCCUUGUCUUCAGCUGAGAAAACACAGCAGCUGGAAGUUUGCCUGGAUUUCACUGGAGAAAGAGAUGUAUAAGACACUCCACCAAGUGACAGGCCCACUGGGCCAUGAUGAUUUUUUCCCCUGGUCUAACUGCUUUGUUAACAUCAAGUAAAACUGCCAAUUUCCCAGCUUGUUUUCUUAUCCCAUCUCAGUUAAUAAAGAUUCUCCUCUAA